AGAGUUUGAUCCUGGCUCAGAACGAACGCUGGCGGCAGGCCUAACACAUGCAAGUCGAACGAGAAGCCAGAGCUUGCUCUGGUGGAAAGUGGCAGACGGGUGAGUAACGCGUGGGAAUCUACCUAGUGGUACGGAAUAACUCAGGGAAACUUGUGCUAAUACCGUAUGUGCCCUUCGGGGGAAAGAUUUAUCGCCACUGGAUGAGCCCGCGUUAGAUUAGCUUGUUGGUGAGGUAAAAGCUCACCAAGGCUACGAUCUAUAGCUGGUCUGAGAGGAUGAUCAGCCACACUGGGACUGAGACACGGCCCAGACUCCUACGGGAGGCAGCAGUGGGGAAUAUUGCACAAUGGGCGCAAGCCUGAUGCAGCCAUGCCGCGUGAGUGAUGAAGGCCCUAGGGUUGUAAAGCUCUUUCAUCGGUGAAGAUAAUGACGGUAGCCGAAGAAGAAGCCCCGGCUAACUCCGUGCCAGCAGCCGCGGUAAUACGGAGGGGGCUAGCGUUGUUCGGAAUUACUGGGCGUAAAGCGCGCGUAGGCGGAUUGGUCAGUUGGGGGUGAAAUCCCGGGGCUUAACCUCGGAACUGCCCUCAAUACUGCCA
RNAcentral lists this ribosomal RNA (596 nucleotides) under uncultured Alphaproteobacteria bacterium. Its description in RNAcentral is "bacterial SSU rRNA". It matches the Rfam family "Bacterial small subunit ribosomal RNA", at positions 8 to 638 of the family's 1533-position model. Lineage: Bacteria; Pseudomonadati; Pseudomonadota; Alphaproteobacteria. The record is from RNAcentral.